RNAcentral lists this ribosomal RNA (1285 nucleotides) under metagenome. RNAcentral's name for it is "bacterial LSU rRNA". It matches the Rfam family "Bacterial large subunit ribosomal RNA", at positions 1625 to 2925 of the family's 2925-position model. The record is from RNAcentral.
CGUUAAGGCAUCAUGGCCUGUACCCGAAACCGACGCAGGUGGGGUGGUAGAGAAUACCGAGGGGCGCGAGGUAACUCUCUCUAAGGAACUCGGCAAAAUGGCCCCGUAACUUCGGGAGAAGGGGUGCCAGCGAGAGCUGGUCGCAGUGAAGAGGCCCAGGCGACUGUUUACCAAAAACACAGGUCUCCGCUAAGUCGCAAGACGAUGUAUGGGGGCUGACGCCUGCCCAGUGCCGGAAGGUUAAGGAAGCUGGUCAGCGCAAGCGAAGCUGGCGACUGAAGCCCCGGUGAACGGCGGCCGUAACUAUAACGGUCCUAAGGUAGCGAAAUUCCUUGUCGGGUAAGUUCCGACCCGCACGAAAGGCGUAACGAUCUGGGCGCCGUCUCGGAGAGAGGCUCGGCGAAAUAGAAUUGUCUGUGAAGAUGCGGACUACGUGCACCCGGACAGAAAGACCCUAUGAAGCUUUACUGUAGCUUGGUAUUGUGCUCGGGCUCGGAAUGCGCAGGAUAGGUGGGAGGCUUGGAUCCAUUGCUUGCGGGUGAUGGUGAGCCACUGGUGAGAUACCACUCUUUUCGAGCUUAAGUUCUAACCCUUACCCGUUAUCCGGGGAGGGGACAGUAUCAGGUGGGCAGUUCGACUGGGGCGGUCGCCUCCUAAAAGGUAACGGAGGCGCGCAAAGGUUCCCUCAGGCUGGUUGGAAAUCAGCCGACGAGUGCAAAGGCAGAAGGGAGCUUGACUGUGAGACCUACAAGUCGAACAGGGACGAAAGUCGGCCUUAGUGAUCCGACGGUUCUGCGUGGAAGGGCCGUCGCUCAACGGAUAAAAGUUACUCUAGGAUAACAGGCUGAUCUCCCCCAAGAGUUCACAUCGACGGGGAGGUUUGGCACCUCGAUGUCGGCUCAUCGCAACCUGGGGCUGAAGUCGGUCCCAAGGGUUGGCUGUUCGCCCAUUAAAGCGGUACGCGAGCUGGGUUCAGAACGUCGUGAGACAGUUCGGUCCAUAUCCGGUGCACGCGCAGGAAUAUUGGGAGGAUUUCUCCCUAGUACGAGAGGACCGGGAGGAACGCACCUCUGGUGUGCCAGUUAUCGUGCCAACGGUAAACGCUGGGUAGCCAUGUGCGGAGAGGAUAACCGCUGAAAGCAUCUAAGUGGGAAGCCCACCUCAAGAUGAGUAUUCCCAUGGCAUAAGCCAGUAAGGUCACGGGAAGAUUACCCGUUGAUAGGCUCUACGUGGAAGCGCAGUAAUGUGUGAAGCGGAGGAGUACUAAUAGACCGAGGGCUUGACC